AUUGCCCUAGUAACGGCGAGUGAAGCGGCAACAGCUCAAAUUUGAAAUCUGGCUCUCUUUGGGGGUCCGAGUUGUAAUUUGCAGAGGAUGCUUUGGCAUUGGCGGCGGUCUAAGUUCCUUGGAACAGGACAUCGCAGAGGGUGAGAAUCCCGUACGUGGGCGCCUGCCUUUGCCGUGUAAAGCUCCUUCGACGAGUCGAGUUGUUUGGGAAUGCAGCUCUAAAUGGGAGGUAAAUUUCUUCUAAAGCUAAAUACCGGCCAGAGACCGAUAGCGCACAAGUAGAGUGAUCGAAAGAUGAAAAGUACUUUGGAAAGAGAGUCAAAAAGCACGUGAAAUUGUUGAAAGGGAAGCGCUUGCAGCCAGACUUGCCCGCAGUUGCUCACCUAGGCUUUGGCCUGGGGCACUCUUCUGCGGGCAGGCCAGCAUCAGUUUGGGCGGUUGGAUAAAGGCCUCUGUCACGUAUCUUCCUUCGGGAUGACCUUAUAGGGGAGGCGUAAUGCAACCAGCCCGGACUGAGGUCCGCGCAUCUGCUAGGAUGCUGGCGUAAUGGCUGUAAGCGGCCCGUCUUGAAACACGGACCAAGGAGUCUAACAUCUAUGCGAGUGUUUGGGUGUCAAGCCCGGGCGCGCAAUGAAAGUGAACGGAGGUGGGAACCCUUUGGGUGCACCAUCGACCGAUCCUGAUGUCUUCGGAUGGAUUUGAGUAAGAGCAUAGCUGUUGGGACCCGAAAGAUGGUGAACUAUGCUUGAAUAGGGUGAAGCCAGAGGAAACUCUGGUGGAGGCUCGCAGCGGUUCUGACGUGCAAAUCGAUCGUCAAAUUUGGGCAUAGGGGCGAAAGACUAAUCGAACCAU
RNAcentral lists this ribosomal RNA (852 nucleotides) under Pseudocamarosporium propinquum. RNAcentral's name for it is "partial 28S ribosomal RNA". It matches the Rfam family "Eukaryotic large subunit ribosomal RNA", at positions 74 to 943 of the family's 3401-position model. The record is from RNAcentral. RNAcentral also lists the same sequence under 2 other names. Lineage: Eukaryota; Fungi; Ascomycota; Dothideomycetes; Pleosporales; Didymosphaeriaceae.